RNAcentral lists this ribosomal RNA (89 nucleotides) under Theobroma obovatum. RNAcentral describes it as "partial 5.8S ribosomal RNA". It matches the Rfam family "5.8S ribosomal RNA", at positions 30 to 118 of the family's 154-position model. From Rfam's summary of the family: 5.8S ribosomal RNA (5.8S rRNA) is a component of the large subunit of the eukaryotic ribosome. It is transcribed by RNA polymerase I as part of the 45S precursor that also contains 18S and 28S rRNA. Lineage: Eukaryota; Viridiplantae; Streptophyta; Magnoliopsida; Malvales; Malvaceae. The record is from RNAcentral.
GCAUCGAUGAAGAACGUAGCAAAAUGCGAUAAGAANUGUGAAUUCCAGAUUCAAGUGAAUCAUCGAAUCUUUGAACGCACAUUGCGCCC